Molecule: ribosomal RNA, 253 nt
Filed under: uncultured bacterium
Lineage: Bacteria
Description: partial 16S ribosomal RNA
Rfam family: Bacterial small subunit ribosomal RNA
Source: RNAcentral
UACGUAGGGGGCAAGCGUUGUCCGGAAUCAUUGGGCGUAAAGCGCGUGUAGGCGGUCCGGUAAGUCCGCUGUGAAAGUCGGGGGCUCAACCCUCGGAUGCCGGUGGAUACUGUCGGGCUUGAGUACGGAAGAGGCGAGUGGAAUUCCUGGUGUAGCGGUGAAAUGCGCAGAUAUCAGGAAGAACACCCGUGGCGAAAGCGGCUCUCUGGAACGGUACUGACGCUGAGACGCGAAAGCGUGGGGAGCGAACAGG